Molecule: ribosomal RNA, 765 nt
Filed under: uncultured bacterium
Lineage: Bacteria
Description: bacterial SSU rRNA
Rfam family: Bacterial small subunit ribosomal RNA
Source: RNAcentral
GCGAGCGGCGGAUGGGUGAGUAACACGUGGGGAACCUGCCCCUAAGUCUGGGAUACCAUUUGGAAACAGGUGCUAAUACCGGAUAAUAAAGCAGAUCGCAUGAAUCAGCUUUUGAAAGGCGGCGUAAGCUGUCGCUAAGGGAUGGCCCCGCGGUGCAUUAGCUAGUUGGUAAGGUAACGGCUUACCAAGGCGACGAUGCAUAGCCGAGUUGAGAGACUGAUCGGCCGCAUUGGGACUGAGACACGGCCCAAACUCCUACGGGAGGCAGCAGUAGGGAAUCUUCCACAAUGGACGCAAGUCUGAUGGAGCAACGCCGCGUGAGUGAAGAAGGUUUUCGGAUCGUAAAGCUCUGUUGUUGGUGAAGAAGGAUAGAGGUAGUAACUGGCCUUUAUUUGACGGUAAUCAACCAGAAAGUCACGGCUAACUACGUGCCAGCAGCCGCGGUAAUACGUAGGUGGCAAGCGUUGUCCGGAUUUAUUGGGCGUAAAGCGAGCGCAGGCGGAAAAAUAAGUCUAAUGUGAAAGCCCUCGGCUUAACCGAGGAACUGCAUCGGAAACUGUUUUUCUUGAGUGCAGAAGAGGAGAGUGGAACUCCAUGUGUAGCGGUGGAAUGCGUAGAUAUAUGGAAGAACACCAGUGGCGAAGGCGGCUCUCUGGUCUGCAACUGACGCUGAGGCUCGAAAGCCAUGGGUAGCGAACAGGAUUAGAUACCCUGGUAGUCCAUGCCGUAAACGAUGAGUGCUAAGUGUUGGGAAGGUUUCCGCCU